AAAUAAGAGAAAUCUUGUGGAAACAGACAGACAAGUCUAGAAACCCGGGAAAAUCACUUCCAAAACCUUCCAGUGACUCCACCUGGUGGCUGGCGUAAGAACCACCGCAACCCUCUCUCCCUACCCCUGUAUCACUAUAUAUGCACAGCUUUCAUAUCUGUGCUCUUGAUAUCAGAACCAGAAAGAAUCAAAUCCCAAAACAUCUACCAAAAAAAAGAGCAUUGUGUAGAAUCUGUUUUUGGUUUUAAUUCUGAGCUUGGUGAAAUCAAAUGGCAGACGUGCAGAUGAGGGCGACUGAGACCGAGACCUUCGCUUUUCAGGCCGAGAUUAACCAGCUUCUCAGUCUUAUCAUCAAUACUUUCUAUAGUAAUAAAGAGAUCUUCCUUCGAGAACUUAUCAGCAAUGCCUCUGAUGCUCUGGACAAAAUCAGAUUCGAGAGCUUGACAGACAAGAGCAAGCUUGAUUCCCAACCCGAGCUCUUUAUAAGGAUUGUGCCUGAUAAGGUUAACAAGACCCUUUCUAUCAUCGAUAGUGGUAUUGGGAUG
This 545-nucleotide unclassified non-coding RNA is filed under the name Hevea brasiliensis (rubber tree). The record is from RNAcentral. Lineage: Eukaryota; Viridiplantae; Streptophyta; Magnoliopsida; Malpighiales; Euphorbiaceae.